This 335-nucleotide ribosomal RNA is filed under the name uncultured Anoxybacillus sp. RNAcentral's name for it is "bacterial SSU rRNA". It matches the Rfam family "Bacterial small subunit ribosomal RNA", at positions 1047 to 1382 of the family's 1533-position model. The record is from RNAcentral. Lineage: Bacteria; Bacillati; Bacillota; Bacilli; Caryophanales; Anoxybacillaceae.
GGUUGUCGUCAGCUCGUGUCGUGAGAUUGGUUGGGUUAAGUCCCGCAACGAGCGCAAACCCUCGCCUCUAGUUGCCAGCAUUCGGUUGGGCACUCUAAGGUGACUGCCGGCUAAAAGUCGGAGAAGUGGGGAUGACGUCAAAUCAUCAUGCCCCUUAUGACCUGGGCUACACACGUGCUACAAUGGGCGGUACAAAGGGUCGCGAACCCGCGAGGGGGAGCCAAUCCCAAAAAGCCGCUCUCAGUUCGGAUUGCAGGCUGCAACUCGCCUGCAUGAAGCCGGAAUCGCUAGUAAUCGCGGAUCAGCAUGCCGCGGUGAAUACGUUCCCGGGCCUU